Uranotaenia lowii is the source of this 1093-nucleotide long non-coding RNA. RefSeq lists it as uncharacterized. The transcript has 3 exons. NCBI's taxonomy places the organism in Eukaryota, Metazoa, Arthropoda, Insecta, Diptera, Culicidae. The record is from RefSeq and is a predicted model, not a curated record.
GGUGUGGUGUGGUCAGGAAUGUGGAUUGCAGUGUUUCGUGCCGAGUCGGCACUGCCGACAAAAAUUCGCAGAUUGAGAAACAGCCGGAACAAUCUAUGAUGUCAAUCUUCAUCCAGUAUCCGAUAGUCUGUACUCGUUCGGUGGUUCCGCGACCGUUUCUGUCCCAAGAGAUCCAGCAUUAAGUCCUGACAUCAACACGAGCGAUCACCACUUCCGAAUGGAAUGCGGUUAAAGGGCCGCAGCUACGGCCAAAUCUGCUCGAUAUUGAAUCCGAUGAACAUCGAUAGCGAUGUGCUCCACAGAUACGGUAGAGGGUUCCCACACGUAGGAAGAAUAUUUCUCCUGUACUGAGCCUUGUUUGACAGUGACGCCGUUCGGGAAAAUUAGACGAUUCGAGACUGCAGUCACAGAAAAAGUCAAUUGCAACGGCUUUCUCGAUAUCGGAUUGAAAUAUAAAAUUGUGGAUGCUUCACUGAGGCGGUCAAGAUUUAUACGAAAUGGCCCAAGGCAUUAACAGUACGCUGAGAAAAUUCAACUGUUCUUGGGAGAAGUUGAUCUUGGGAGCAAAUUGGUAAACCAGUAGACUUUGUAAGGAAAAUAGUUCUUGAAUCUAAUAAGAUAUCACAGGUAACAGGCAGCAAUAUUCCAUUGAUUUUAAAAUAGUUUUCAGCAGGUAGCAGCCUAGCAAUCCACUACGUUGCAUUUUUUUUUGCUUUACCUACCUACUUAAUUAUUGAAAAAAAUUGAAUGAUUUGCAAGAAAAAAUCUCAUUACAUUUCAGGAUUUGAAGUUGCUUCAUAAAACUACAUUUGUUAGUCAUUUGUUAGUCAUUCUGCUCCUCAGACGAAAACUGUCGACAACCGACUUAUCAAGCCGCUCGUUAGACCACCAUUAAAACGCCCAAGGACAUUUCAACAAUGGAAACGACAAAUGUCACCGGUAAGCAAUUUCCAAUUAUUCAUUUUUUAAAUAAGUCCACACACUUCAAUUUCUAUUUGAAAUGCAUUCAAAUAUGCGGGAAUAGCUUAAAACCUAAACUCACUACUGAUAACAAGUUGAUGUCAUAGAAUGAAUAAAUGAAGACGCUAUAAUG